ACCGUUUUCUUCUCUAAACUCUUGUGCAUGCCUCUUGAUGGCGAUUUCAAGGCUGCCCAGGCAGCGAUUGGUGGAGUUUGCUUUGAGGGCGUAUUUGUUCGGAGGCACCCCUGGUACUGCAUGUUGGCUCAGAUUUCAUUUGCUGGGUGACUUUUCACGAAAGACACCGAAUGCUACAUCCUACCCAGAUCUGAUGCUCGGUCCAGCUUUAAGAGUUGCCGCCCGCCCAAGGGACUGUUACAGACCCUCACGGAGUCUAAUCCCUUGGGCCCUGAGACCGAGUUAAUCAAGACUGCCUCUCGGCCGCCGCUGCGGGAACCGAGCGGCUUGGGGUGGGGAGAUCGAGGUGGUGUUCUGACCCACAGUCAUCGAUCGGGUCGGGAGUGACAGCACGCGGUUCUCCCAUCCGUGCGGGGGAUGCGCCCGCCACGCGCCGAGGAAGUGGGCCUCUCUUGGGGGGCAGUUCUCUCCCGAGAGCCGCCGGAUAAUCACGGCGGCGCGGAGGGGAGCUGCUUCCGAGCCGGCGCCCUGCAAACGCGAGAAGAGUCCUCCCCAGCGGGAGCGGGGCGGGCCUCGGCUGUUAGCAGAGGAGAUCGCGGAGUCUGGAGCAGCCGAACCAGGUGGUGAUACUUGUUCUCAUCUCAGCCUGGUAGCCUGACCUUGACUCCUGAGUUCUGUGAUGCCUUGACAACUGCAAGUCAUUCUCAUAUGAAAUUUGAGUUUACCUGGUCUGCACCUUUGAGAGUUUCAGAACAAUAUGCAAAUUCCAGUUACCAUCAUGCUGUCUUGUUGAGUAUCUCACAUGACAGGACCAACAUUUGGGUUGCUUGCUGGUACCCUGGUUCUUCUACUGUUUCUUCCUUCUGCUGCCGUCAAUCGCACACAUGUAUAGUCAUGCCAAAGCUACUUUACCCUUUUUAUUUGUCUUGUGAAUGUUGUCAUUUGCUCUUUAUAUGUUAGUGCUGUGUAUUGCUCAGUGACAGAAAACUUUCAAUAGCUGUAAUUUUGUGUAAGUUUGAAUAAGAAUGGUAUCCAAGCAAAAAACCAAGAAGGUAAAUGAUAGAGAGGCAAGAAGGGUGAAGAGGACAAAAAAGGUGGCAAACAAAAUGAGAAUUCUUGAAAUGCUUGAUAAUGGUGAAACCAAGACCUCUGUAGGGCAUUUUUGGGUGCUAAUGAAUCAAUAAAGAAAAAUGAGAAAGCUAUUAAGGCCAGUGCAUGAGGGGCACACCAGAAUCAUUGAGAAAAUAUGACAACUCAAAAUGCCAAAAUAGAAAAAAAGGAAAGAGAUUUGCAUUUGUGGCUUCUAAAACAGAAAAGGCUUAAUAGAGCUCUUUCUGUGUGUAAAAUCUGCUAACAAGCAUCACAAACAUGCAAAUUUAAAUUUUGAUCUGGAUGGAAAAUUAUAAAAUUUAUCAUGAGUAGUAGGUGGUGGGAUAGGUUUAGGAACCGCCAUGGUCUGUAUGAAAAGACAUGGCUUGCAGAGGAAGCAGAUCAUGAAGCCACUGCAGAAUAUUGAAGGAACGGAUAGAAAAAAAUGUCUAUAUGCCUGAACAGGUCUACAAUGCUGAUGAAACAAUCUUGUUCUGGAAGCGCAUGCCCCUACUUGCACAUCUGUUGCAAAGGAGGAGACAAAGACCAGAGGCUUGAAGCCUGGGAAAGAUAAGCUCCAAAGUUCUUUGUUCCAAUGCUUCUGGUGACUGUCUGACUAAACCCGUGCUGCUUCACAAGUUCCGAAAUUCUUGCCCUCUUAAAAGAAAAUGCCAGAAACCCUUUUCUGUGUAUAUGCAGGGAAGCCAUAAGAUAUGGAUCACUGAGAAAUUCUUUUUGGAUUGGUUUUUGAAGUGUUUUGUUCCUGAGGUUAAACAAUAUUUAAACCAAAAACAUCUUGAAUUCAAAUUGUUGCUGAUUCUGAACAUGGCUCCCACUGAUAAAAAUGUGAUAGUAAAUGCUGAUCUUUGUGUUAAAGUCAUCUCCAUUUACCCCAGUACAACUCCAUUCCUUCAACCCAUGCACUUGGGAGUAUAUUUGACUACCUGGCAACUCUUAGGAGAGAGACACCUGAAAUUACUGUGAAAGUUGCUUGGCAAAAUUUCUCCAUAUGUAAUAGUUUAAUGAUAGUAGAAGAGUCAGUGAGAGAAAUAAAACAAUCAGCCCUUAAUGGAGCCUGGCAGAAAUUUCAGAAUGAGGUUGUAACUAAUUCUGAAAGUUUCCUUCCAGUGCCAGAAGAAACUGAAAAUGUUGUAGCAUCUGCAAAAUGAUUGGGUGGUGAAGGAUUUGAAGACAGUGAAUUAAGUGACAUUGCUGAACUAUUAGAUUCUCACCCUCAGAAGAUAGUUGAGAAAUAUUUCAACUGUCAGAGACGUGAUCACAUCACAAGUUGAUGAAAGAGGGAGAAGAGGCUGGACCAUCGGACUGCAUCAUGCAAACCCAUUCUACAAAUAGCAGACAGAACGACCUCAUACAGACAGUGGAACCCUGGGAUUCAGGCUCUGACAGCUUUGAUGAUGUGAUGAUCCAUGCAGGAGACUGAGCUUACUCAUAUGCAGAUAAAAUCCUGUUUUCUCCAUUCUUUCCCUGUCACUACUGUGAUGAUCGGCCUUUUCAGUGAUGUUAUUCUUCACCUUGAGCUCAGAGAGAAAUAGAAAUUAGUUGCCCACCAAUAACAAUUGCUAAUGUAAAAUCGUAAAACUCCAUCAAGGCUCACUUUACUUAGUGUUUUAUUCUGAUGAACAAACCAAUUGUCUGGGCUUUUAUAAUACUCCCUUCCCUCCCCCAAUUUCCCCCCAAAACUUAUAAAUUCCUCCAACACAAAUUCCCCUACAAGGAGGGUUUAAGUAACUCAACUGUAGGACCUAAGGAGGGGGCUACUCAGUUUGAUAAGUCUUUGACCCUAAAAUUUAUUUUAACUCUGUUUAAGCCUAACUUGCUGUCUCAACAAAAAGGAUACAAAUCCCCUUGUUAAUUCAUUUGGUAUAAGUUCAUUUGUUUUGCAGCAGUUGUAUAAGGUACCGAAAGGCAUGGUGUGUCCUGGAAGGCAGUACAUUUAUAGUGGAUUCCUGGAUUUACUUUGGUACCUAAUCAAGGAGGAGAAGCUGCAAGAGUUCAUUGCCAUCCAUCCUCUCUGUUCUCAUAUCUGGUCUUCCAAGUGAUUUAAAUGGUUGAAUAUCCUCUUCCCUAAAGUUGGUAGAAAUCCAGUAAGUUUUCCCCUAGCCUGGAAAAUCUGAAAGAUAGGUCCCCUAUAUCUGAGUUUGCAGUGAUCAGAGAAAGGGGACAAGAAUACAAAAGUUAAAAGUCUUGGCUUGUGUAGUUACAGUUGGGAUGACAGACAUUCCUCAACAUGUUCCAAAGAGGCAGAUGAGUGUUGAAAACCCAUUAUUGGGUGAUAGGGACCUAAGGACUCACCACAGUGCCAGGGUAGCUUACACUCUUCUCUAAGUCACAGUGGUUUUCAACACUGGCUGCCCAUCAAAAUUGUUAUGGGGAACUUCAAAAGCAGAUUUCUGGGAUCUGUCCCUAGACGUGCUAAAUUGGGGAUUAGGCCAGCAGCUGUUGAUUUUGAAAGCUACUCAAGCAGUUUUUUAAUAGAGUCAUGGCUGGAAACCACUGCUGUUGAAAACCAUAAUUAUGAUAGAAAAUAUACCACAAAUGAUAGUGAGCCCAGAGGGCAGGAAACCUCUAUUCCAAGUUUCUGCUCUGCCACAGGCUCAGUGGAUGCUCUUAUUCGAAUCAUCCUACUCUUUCCUUAUCUGUCCAAGGAGAGAAUAGGAACACUUGGUCUCUGAGGUCCUUCUAUCCCUGACAUUGUUACCUUGAGAGAAAGGUACAUCAGCCUCAUUGGUUGAUUUUGAGACUACCUAAGCCCUUUCAUAGAGAUCAAGUUAAGUAGUAAUACUACUGUCUUGUACUCUUGUUAUUUUAAAAAUGGUUCUUGCGACUCAGGCUUUCUUAUGUUUUACUCCCUCUCAGAAAACAGUUAGUCACAGAUGCCAUAGAAGAAAGGGAAACCAACGUAACAUCAACUCUGAGUUACAGGGUUUGCAUUAUAUAUAUAAUGCAUAGACAUUGUCAAUAAAACGAGAUAUUUUGUUUCGUUUCCAUAAACCAGAGCAGAGAAAUAUGUUAACUGUUUCAAGUUUCCAUGGAUAACUGGGGUACUCUUAAUCAUACCUAGAGGCAAAUAUUUUUAAGUGAAUGAUUGUUUUAUCAGUAUAAUCAGCAGUUCUAUAUGGUUUUAAAGAAUGUAGUUUCUUGAUAAGUUUAUCAUUUAUUGACAUUAUUGCAUUGGCAAGUUUUUGUCUUAAUUUGACCAGAAUUAGAGAAAUAAAACUUUAAGUUGAAUAGCAUCCAUCAGGAACUGUUAAUAUAAAAUAAUACAAUGGGAAACUGACUAUUAUAUGAUUCUGGUGGUGGUAGGAAUGCCUAGACUUUGGCUUGAUAUAUGGAAACAUUUGUCUAGGGCCUAGACCAUUUGAAAAUACUGGGGUAGAUCUAAUUCUUGUUUAUGGCAAUAUCCAUUUCAAAUAAUUUAAGAAAUAUCACUGAUGAGGGUAAAAGACCAUUUUAAUAUGGUUCAGUCUAGCAAGUCAGCAGAGCUUCCGAGGUGGCUCAGUGGUAAAAGAAUCUGCCUGCCAGUGCAGGAGAUGCAAGAGAUCGGGGUUCCAUUCCUGGGUCAGGAAGAUCCCCUGGAGAAGGGAAUGGCAACCCACUCCAGUAUUCU
Long non-coding RNA from Cervus elaphus (red deer), 4717 nucleotides. RefSeq lists it as uncharacterized. Lineage: Eukaryota; Metazoa; Chordata; Mammalia; Artiodactyla; Cervidae. The transcript has 3 exons. The record is from RefSeq and is a predicted model, not a curated record.